GAAGAACCCUAACCAUUUUCGAAGAUCCCAAUUGCAGUAUCAAUCAAUUCAAAUCCUUACUCAAGCUUUUCGAGGAUCAAGCAGCUCUCAACUUGCAAGUGUCCUGAGUGUAAUUUGUCCGUGAAUUUGCAUUUUUCCAGGUUUCCGAUUGUGGAUUGUUGGAAUUUCUUGAUGCUUCGAGUACAAUACUGCUAAUACGAAGGGUAAUUUUAUCUUAAUUGCUUUAUUAUUAAUAGAUCAA
Long non-coding RNA from Spinacia oleracea (spinach), 241 nucleotides. RefSeq lists it as uncharacterized. The record is from RefSeq and is a predicted model, not a curated record. Lineage: Eukaryota; Viridiplantae; Streptophyta; Magnoliopsida; Caryophyllales; Amaranthaceae. The transcript has 3 exons.